RNAcentral lists this ribosomal RNA (420 nucleotides) under uncultured bacterium. Its description in RNAcentral is "bacterial SSU rRNA". It matches the Rfam family "Bacterial small subunit ribosomal RNA", at positions 356 to 773 of the family's 1533-position model. The record is from RNAcentral.
AAGGAAUAUUGGACAAUGGGGGCAACCCUGAUCCAGCCAUCCCGCGUGCAGGAAGAAGGCCCUACGGGUUGUAAACUGCUUUUAUGAGGGAAGAAAUGACUUGAUUUAUCGAGUUUUGACGGUACCUCAGGAAUAAGCACCGGCUAACUCCGUGCCAGCAGCCGCGGUAAUACGGAGGGUGCGAGCGUUAUCCGGAAUUACUGGGUUUAAAGGGUGCGUAGGCGGCCUAAUAAGUCAGGAGUGAAAGUUAUCCGCUUAACGGGGAAAUUGCUUUUGAUACUGUUAGGCUAGAAUGAGGAUGAGGUAGGCGGAAUGUGGCAAGUAGCGGUGAAAUGCAUAGAUAUGCCAUAGAACACCAAUUGCGAAGGCAGCUUACUGGACCUUAAUUGACGCUGAGGCACGAAAGCGUGGGGAGCGAAC